RNAcentral lists this ribosomal RNA (383 nucleotides) under uncultured eukaryote. RNAcentral's name for it is "partial 18S ribosomal RNA". It matches the Rfam family "Eukaryotic small subunit ribosomal RNA", at positions 592 to 976 of the family's 1831-position model. The record is from RNAcentral.
CAAUAACGUAUAUUAAAGUUGUUGCAGUUAAAAAGCUCGUAGUUGGAUUUCUGGUGGGAGCGAUCGGUCUGGCGCUUAGCGCGAGUACUUGCAUCGUCUCCGGCCAUCCUUGGGGAGAGUCUGUCUGGCAUUAAGUUGUCGGGCAGAGGAUCCUCAUCGUUUACUGUGAAAAAAUUAGAGUGUUCAAAGCAGGCUUAUGCCGUUGAAUAUAUUAGCAUGGAAUAAUAAGAUAGGACUUUGGUACUAUUUUGUUGGUUUGCGCACCAAAGUAAUGAUUAAUAGGGACAGUUGGGGGUAUUCGUAUUCCGUUGUCAGAGGUGAAAUUCUUGGAUUUACGGAAGACGAACUACUGCGAAAGCAUUUACCAAGGAUGUUUUCAUUAA